GAUGAACGCUGGCGGCGUGCCUAAUACAUGCAAGUCGAGCGAACGGACGAGAAGCUUGCUUCUCUGAUGUUAGCGGCGGACGGGUGAGUAACACGUGGAUAACCUACCUAUAAGACUGGGAUAACUUCGGGAAACCGGAGCUAAUACCGGAUAAUAUUUUGAACCGCAUGGUUCAAAAGUGAAAGACGGUCUUGCUGUCACUUAUAGAUGGAUCCGCGCUGCAUUAGCUAGUUGGUAAGGUAACGGCUUACCAAGGCAACGAUGCAUAGCCGACCUGAGAGGGUGAUCGGCCACACUGGAACUGAGGCACGGUCCAGACUCCUACGGGAGGCAGCAGUAGGGAAUCUUCCGCAAUGGGCGAAAGCCUGACGGAGCAACGCCGCGUGAGUGAUGAAGGUCUUCGGAUCGUAAAACUCUGUUAUUAGGGAAGAACAAAUGUGUAAGUAACUGUGCACAUCUUGACGGUACCUAAUCAGAAAGCCACGGCUAACUACGUG
Molecule: ribosomal RNA, 497 nt
Filed under: uncultured bacterium
Lineage: Bacteria
Description: partial 16S ribosomal RNA
Rfam family: Bacterial small subunit ribosomal RNA
Source: RNAcentral